This 705-nucleotide ribosomal RNA is filed under the name uncultured bacterium. RNAcentral describes it as "bacterial SSU rRNA". It matches the Rfam family "Bacterial small subunit ribosomal RNA", at positions 8 to 694 of the family's 1533-position model. The record is from RNAcentral.
AGAGUUUGAUCCUGGCUCAGAAUCAACGCUGGCGGCGUGCCUAACACAUGCAAGUCGAACGCGGUUACCCCGCAAGGGGUGACUGAGUGGCGAACGGGUGAGUAACACGUGGGUGAUCUACCUUCGAGUGGGGGAUAACGUUCCGAAAGGAACGCUAAUACCGCAUGACGUUCUGGGUUUGAAGACCUGGAAACCAAAGUCGGGGACCGCAAGGCCUGACGCUUGGAGAGGAGCCCGCGCCUGAUCAGCUAGUUGGUGAGGUAAUGGCUCACCAAGGCGACGAUCAGUAGCCGGCCUGAGAGGGCGGACGGCCACACUGGGACUGAGACACGGCCCAGACUCCUACGGGAGGCAGCAGUGGGGAAUUGUUCGCAAUGGGCGCAAGCCUGACGACGCAACGCCGCGUGGAGGAUGAAGGUCUUCGGAUUGUAAACUCCUGUUGAUCGGGAAGAAUGGACCCCGGGUGAAUAGUCCGGGGUAUUGACGGUACCGAUUGAGGAAGCCACGGCUAACUCUGUGCCAGCAGCCGCGGUAAUACAGAGGUGGCAAGCGUUGUUCGGAAUUACUGGGCGUAAAGGGCGCGUAGGCGGUUGCCUAAGUCGGACGUGAAAUCCCCAAGCUUAACUUGGGAACUGCAUCCGAUACUGGGUGACUUGAGUUCGGGAGAGGAAUGUGGAAUUCCAGGUGUAGCGGUGAAAUGCUAGA